GGUUAAGUGAAUAAGGGCGCACGGUGGAUGCCUUGGCACUAGGAGCCGAUGAAGGACGGGACUAACACCGAUAUGCUUUGGGGAGCUGUAAGUAAGCUAUGAUCCAGAGAUUUCCGAAUGGGGGAACCCAAUAUCUUUUAUAGGAUAUUACUUUUCAGUGAAUACAUAGCUGAUUAGAGGUAGACGCAGAGAACUGAAACAUCUUAGUA
RNAcentral lists this ribosomal RNA (209 nucleotides) under Enterococcus faecalis. Its description in RNAcentral is "partial 23S ribosomal RNA". It matches the Rfam family "Bacterial large subunit ribosomal RNA", at positions 1 to 208 of the family's 2925-position model. RNAcentral also lists the same sequence under 1 other name. Lineage: Bacteria; Bacillati; Bacillota; Bacilli; Lactobacillales; Enterococcaceae. The record is from RNAcentral.